This 505-nucleotide ribosomal RNA is filed under the name uncultured bacterium. RNAcentral describes it as "partial 16S ribosomal RNA". It matches the Rfam family "Bacterial small subunit ribosomal RNA", at positions 28 to 507 of the family's 1533-position model. The record is from RNAcentral.
GACGAACGCUGGCGGCGUGCCUAAUACAUGCAAGUAGAACGCACAGUUUAUACCGUAGCUUGCUACACCAUAGACUGUGAGUUGCGAACGGGUGAGUAACGCGUAGGUAACCUGCCUGGUAGCGGGGGAUAACUAUUGGAAACGAUAGCUAAUACCGCAUAAUAUUAAUUAUUGCAUGAUAAUUAAUUGAAAGGUGCAAUUGCACCACUACCAGAUGGACCUGCGUUGUAUUAGCUAGUAGGUGAGGUAACGGCUCACCUAGGCGACGAUACAUAGCCGACCUGGGAGGGUGAUCGGCCACACUGGGACUGAGACACGGCCCAGACUCCUACGGGAGGCAGCAGUAGGGAAUCUUCGGCAAUGGACGAAAGUCUGACCGAGCAACGCCGCGUGAGGGAAGAAGGGUUUCGGAUCGUAAAGCUCUGUUGUAAGAGAAGAACGGGUGUGAGAGUGGAAAGUUCACACUGUGACGGUAUCUUACCAGAAAGGGACGGCUAACUACGUG